GACGAACGCUGGCGGCGUGCUUAACACAUGCAAGUCGAACGGUAAGGCCCUUCGGGGUACACGAGUGGCGAACGGGUGAGUAACACGUGGGUGAUCUGCCCUGCACUUCGGGAUAAGCCUGGGAAACUGCGUCUAAUACCGGAUAGGACCACUGCCUGCAUGGGUGGUGGUGGAAAGUCUUUGUGGUGUGGGAUGGGCCCGCGGCCUAUCAGGUUGUUGGUGGGGUGAUGGCCUGCCAAGGCGACGACGGGGAGCCGGCCUGAGAGGGUGACCGGCCACACUGGGACUGAGAUACGGCCCAGACUCCUACGGGAGGCAGCAGUGGGGAAUAUUGCGCAAUGGGCGCAAGCCUGAUGCAGCGACGCCGCGUGAGGGAUGACGGCCUUCGGGUUGUAAACCUCUUUCAGCACCGACGAAGCGCAAGUGACGGUAGGUGCAGAAGAAGGACCGGCCAACUACGUGCCAGCCGCCGCCGUAA
This 478-nucleotide ribosomal RNA is filed under the name uncultured bacterium. RNAcentral describes it as "partial 16S ribosomal RNA". It matches the Rfam family "Bacterial small subunit ribosomal RNA", at positions 28 to 523 of the family's 1533-position model. The record is from RNAcentral.